AUACCAAAUAUCUCCCCCACCCCCCCACCCCCUCUCCCCUGGCUCCUCUCAGACUGAUCCCUGCCGUUACUCUGGGUUCGCAGCUGAAAGAAAAUACCAGACUUGUGCCACGCAAGAGAAUGGAUCUCCAGCUAGACGACCUCGGCUGGGGUGGGAGGGAGAGUGUGGCCACGCAGUUGCCUUUUACGAGAGAGUCUUCUGUUUCCCCUCUUAUCCCCGCACGAACGUGUAAGGAACGUGUAAGCAAGAAAGAAAAACAGUCCGGUUGCGCGUAAAAUCCAGAGGAUGAAAUGGUUCUGGCUCGCCCUCGAUGAGCGCAGGCUGCUGCGGGUCUCAGCCCCUCCGUGGAAUAGCUGCUCCAAACAAGUCGGCGUCUCACGCACAGAGAAAACGCGUAGCUGUACGGGUAAAGUGGCUGGGAGUGGCGGGUAAAAACCGGAGUGGAGUCAGCUCCAGUUCUCGAAGAACAAAACACGACAGAAGGAACGCAUACAGAUGUGCUUGUAUACUUCCAGCUCGGCAUCUCGGCAGAGGCGUUGUUUAGAUCCACGGAACAAAAUCCAAGUUCAUUUCAAGGCCCUUCACAAGAUAAACAACUAUAUAUAUCAACUCUGUCAGUCAGUCAUUUUCUACCGCUCUGACAACUCUGUCAGGAUUUCCUGAAUUUACGGCUGAAAUCACUAACUCCAAGUCUUUGUUAGUACAUCAUAAUCCUUUUUUAAACCACAUGUAUGUUAACUUAUUACUUGAGUUUGAAACCUGUAUAUGGGACAUUUGAAAUGUCCUGAACUUACAACAUUAUCUGUAUUACAGUGUGACAGCAGAUUUCUGGGAACAAUUCUUUAAGCUUUUUUUAUUUUUUUCCCUUUCAAGACCUCAGACUGUCUUUUAAUCUUUUGUAGUGGAUCCUUUUGUUGGAAUUUGAUCAGGAAUUUUACCCGUGUAUUGGCAUUUUGUCUCGCCCUUUUUCUAUUUUGUAACCCUGUGCUUAAACCAUUUUCUUUAGGUUUUCAAUUAACCCUGUGAGAAGUUGGCAUUUAAAUCUCACAUAUACUUUAAUUUAAUUGUAGAUUUCUGAAGGUUUAUACCCUGUUUUCAUUUAUUUUGGUUCUAAUCUCCGUUAGGACCCAUGAUCUCCUAUAUGAGAAAAAUGAGCCCUGAUCAAACCAAUAUUACUAGGAGGCCUCCUGCUCAUUGAUAUUUAAGAGAGUCACUUAACCACAUUUCCUAUGACAAAAUCACUGAAAAAUAAAGAAAAGUGCUUUAAAUCAGUUCAAUUUUGAUCACUGUCUACCACUUUUUUUUUAAAACAAAGGGGAGAAACCUACUGCGGGAUGUGCCGUACCAAACAUGCUCCGAUUCAUAUCCACCGUGUAAACAUUUCCCAGCUAACAGACUGAUUUACAGAUUGAUCGUUGCACUCUGGUCAUGCUCUACAGUAAGAAAUUGUUGGUAUGUGACUCAAAUAAAUUAUAUCUACCCAUAGAAGGACACUCAAAAAUAUUUUGGAUUAAUCAAGGGUCAUCUGACAUAUUUUAUAAGAGUAGACUGGCCGUCAGCAGAUGAGAAACCAGUGGAAAAUAAUAUGCAAUCAAUAAUUCACAAUCAACGUAAAUUAUUUUCAAGCUAGUGCCCCAGUACAGCUUUAUGCAUAGCAAAACCCCAGGUGUAUUGUGGUAAGAAGCAGAUCCCGCUAAUAUGAAUUACAAAAACAAAUUGUAGACUGGCUGCAUUUUUGUCCCUAAAGUGUUUGAUUAUUUAUUAUCUAACGCUGGUUUAACUCACAAAAUAACGUGAGAUUCAGGAUAUUCUCACCACAAUGAUUUAUUUGAUCAAAAGCCAGAGUAGUCAGGUUCAAGUGAACACAGUAAUAUUAUUAUUUACCGUACAUUAAUCAGAGGUAACUAAAAUGAGUGUUGCAUCUUUGUGUAGCUUUGCAAAUAGCCAAAUCAGCGUGUUCACCGUUAAUUUGCUGCAUGUUGUCCUUCAGCCACUGGACGUCUAGUUUGAGUCCAGGAAGCUAUGUGAGCAACAAAGAUAGUUAGGGAGAAAUGUUGGUAUGAUUAUUAGAGAUUAGUAGAAACUUCGGGCGGGGCAGUCCUCAUACACACUCCCUCCUAAAGUCAUUUCAGAACCACUAAUGAACCCAGCAUGGUUUUGGACAGUGGGAGGAAGCCCCACAGCCGCUACUGGCUGCGUAAUUUAAAACAGAAUACAUGGAGAAACUUGGAAGGGAGGUGGCAUUCCUCUAACUUAAAAUACGUUUAUUUGGUCUGUAAACAAAGCUCCUUAUAAAGACAGGACUGCGUUUGUUUCAUGAAUAACAGAACAAGGAACUCCCAGAAUCAAACCCAGCUAUAAUUGGCAGUCAGAAAUCUGUUUAUUCACGUAUUGUAAAGACAAUUUAAGGCCUUCUUUCAACUACUGCUUGUAAUACAACAUCAAGUAAAGCAUUUUUUUUAAAUAAUUGUAAAACCGAAUUUAAUUUGACUUUUUCUGGCCCGCUGAGCUGGAGUAAUAGUACCAGCAUCAAAUCACCUGGUCAGGUGGUGGGAGGAUUUUACUGUAUUGUGUGACAAUUACUACUUGUGGCACUGUAGAGUUUGUAUUCUCCAAAUCCUAAAUAUCACCAAAACUAAAGAUUUGUAUAGAUUUUAGAAAGACGCCAAGUGCACCACCUUUAACUUUCAUUAAAAGGUGACCAGUGGAGCACGUUCAAGUUAUAAGUAGUGUUAUGGGUCUUGUUAUUGAUAAUAAGCUGACAUUUAGUAAAAACUCUAAGGUCAGCAAAAAGAUCACGCUUGAAAGAUUGCACUUCCUCUGGACCAUUUAUUACAAUUCUGUCCUCAAAUUAACUUUUAUCACUUGGUUCAGCAACCUAUCAAAAGAAGAAAAAACAUAUCAUAAAACAAGUAGUAAAAGUGGCCGGCUUACUUAUCGAUCCAAGUGAUCUGGUCUAACACAAACAAUUUUAAAGAGACUCACACAAAAGGCAAAGGAUAUUUUCCACUCUCAUUAUCAACUACUUCAUGGCGAAUUGCAACCAUACUCAACUGGACAGUAUUGGAUUCAAUUUGACUGAAACUAUAGUGGCCUUCAUAGUGUCCCUAGAUGACUUUAGUUGUGAAUUUAUUUUAGGAAACUCUCUUAAAAAGUCAUAUUUAUCAUAUCCUGUAAUACCAGUAACUUUCUAGCUGUUAGAAAAGAUGAUUAAUUGUGUAAAAAAUAAACUCAUCUAAAAAGUCAA
Girardinichthys multiradiatus is the source of this 3247-nucleotide long non-coding RNA. RefSeq lists it as uncharacterized. The record is from RefSeq and is a predicted model, not a curated record. Lineage: Eukaryota; Metazoa; Chordata; Actinopteri; Cyprinodontiformes; Goodeidae. The transcript is spliced from 2 exons.